AGGAGUUUGAUCCUGGCUCAGGACGAACGCUUGCGACGUGCCUAAGAAAUGCAAGUCGAGCGAGGUAGCAAUACCUAGCGGCGAACGGUCGCGUAACACGUAAGCAACCUGCCCCAAAGACCGGGACAACGUUCCGAAAGGAGCGCUAAUACCGGAUGUGCCCGCGAGGAGACCUCUCUUUGCGAGUAAAGCGCGCAAUCGGCUUUGGGAGGGGCUUGCGGCCUAUCAGCUAGAUGGUGGGGUAACGGCCUACCAUGGCGACGACGGGUAGCUGGUCUGAGAGGAUGGUCAGCCGGAUUGGGACUGAGAUACGGCCCAGACUCCUACGGGGGGCAGCAAUUAGGAAUCUUGCGCAAUGGGCGAAAGCCUGACGCAGCGACGUCGCGUGGGGGAGGAAGGCUUUCGGGUUGUAAACCCCUUUUAUCGAGGAAGAAACAAAUGACGGUACUCGAUGAAUAAGCCCCGGCUAACUCCGUGCCAGCAGCCGCGGUAAUACGGAGGGGGCGAGCGUUGUCCGAAGUUACUGGGCGUAAAGCGCGCGUAGGCGGGUUGGUAAGUCCGCUGUGAAAGCCCGGAGCUUAACUCCGGAGGGUCGGGGAUACUGCCAGCU
RNAcentral lists this ribosomal RNA (610 nucleotides) under uncultured bacterium. Its description in RNAcentral is "bacterial SSU rRNA". It matches the Rfam family "Bacterial small subunit ribosomal RNA", at positions 1 to 641 of the family's 1533-position model. The record is from RNAcentral.